CCUUGGUAGAUAGGGGUGUUAUAUAGUCCUAUGUGAUUUGUGAGACCGAGUUUAGAAGACCUUGGCUAGAACAGAGUAAAUAGCGAAAAAAGGUUUCCAAUAUUAGAAACUCGAGUCGAAUAAAUUUAAUAUAUGACAGACCAUGGGGUUUGACGAGUUAUUACAUAACCUCCGUCUAGUCGGGACUCAUGAUAGAAGGAUUGUAUCACACGGUAACUGCACCAAGAGGUUCAGUAUUCUAUUCUACUGGAAUGCCACUACAUGCUGCUAGGGUCACUGGUGGAUUGUGAGACUUAUCAGAAUUAUCUAAAUGAUCGAUAAUUCUCAUUGGGCUGAGUUGGAAUUGUUCCGAUCCACUGAAAGGAGUUUCAGUGAUAUUGUUGAUAGUGAUUAAAAUAUAUCUCACUACCAGAUAGAAUAGAACCUAUGGGGUCACACACAUAAGAGAUUGUGAUUGAUCGGAUAACUAGAUCACGAUUAUUGAAUCGCUAGAGGACCUAAUUGUCAAUAUGAUGAUAAUUGGACUAAUUUAUAAUUGUUACAAAUUAGCAGCAUUAAAGUGUAAAUGUUAUUAGAGAGGACUUACUAAUAGUUAGUAAAUUAUAAAAGAACUUAUGUGCAAAUGUUGCAUUAUUAAUUUGAUAUGAUCAGAUUAAGAUAAACUUUAAGUCGAAUCAAAUUAGGAUUUGAUCGAUCUAACCAAUUAAGGAAAGGAUAAAUUUAAAUCUAGAUUUGUAGUUAUCCUUAAUUGUCAUUAUAUUAUUAGAAAAAGAAUUAUAUUUCUCUAUAUAAUAUACGGGAGUUUUAGAAAGCUCUAACCGUCAUCUCUCUUCUCCUCUCUCUUCCAUCUUCUAGCAAGAAGGACGUCCUUUCCAAGGAAGCUAGCACCCAGUGAGGACAUCGGUCAAAUCAGCAACCUCGUGUGGAUACCUAUAGAGACCAGACGCGUGUGCGGCUUCAAGAGAACUCAAUUCCAUGAUCAUCAAAUUGGGGUGAAAAUCUAUCUGCGCAAAAGGUAAAGAUUCAAUCUUGCUUUUCUCUUUUAAUCUUAAAGAACAUGAGGGAUCCUAAUUGCGUGUUUUUGAGAUUGGAUCUCGAGAGUUUUCAAAAUCAAAUUUGUUUGAUUUUUUUUUCCGCUACGUUUUAUCAUACGCAAUUUUCUAAUAGCCUCUCGACAAUAGUAUUUAAAAUUUAAACAAACUAUUUUGACUUUGGUUUUAAGGAAAACAUUGUUGAUCAAUGUAUUAUCUAAAAGUUAGUGGGAGUAAGAUAAUUUUCUUAGUCUUUUAUGUUGAUGAUAUUUUGGGCUAUUACAUAACACUAAAGAAAAAAUUUCUUUUCAAAAUUUUGAAAUGAAAGAUUUAGGUGAGGCCUCAUAUGUUCUUGGUAUUGAAAUAAAAAAGGAUAGACAUAAAGUUUUACUUGGUCUAUCUCAAAAGGCCUACAUAAAGAAAGUUUUAAAAAAUUUUGAAAUGCAUAAUGGUAAGCCUAGUGUUGCUCAUGUCCGGAAAGGGGAUAAGCUUAAUGAUUUUUAGUGUCAUAAGAACCAAUUAGAAAUUGAACAAAUGAAAAACAUAUCCUAUACCUCUACAAUUGGUAGCCUUGUGUAUGCACAAAUGUGCACACGUCCGGAUAUUGCUUUUGCUGUUGGUUUACUUAGCAGGUAUUAAAGUAAUUCAGGUAUGAAGUAUUAGAAGGCUGCUAAGAAGGUUUUGAGCUAUUUGAAGGGAAUUUUGAAUCAUAUUGCAUGUUACGAGACCACAUCAGAGGUUAUUUGGCUUAGGAAUUUUAUCACAGACUUAAGAAUUAUGGACUCCAGUGCUCGUCCAAUAAAAAUUUCUGUGAUAGUUCAGCUGUGGUUUCCUUUGCCAAUAACAAUAAGAUUAUAGCGGGGUAUAAACACUUAGACACCAAAUAUCUUGUUGUGAGAGAGAAGAUAGAGAAAUGCUAUUUUAUAAUUGAGUACAUCAGUACCAAGUGUAUGGUUGCAAACCCAAUGAUCAAGGGGCUGGUACCUGAGUCAUAUACAGAUCGUGUUAGAAGUAUGGGUUUGAUUAGUUCUUUUGAGGUAGAAAGUUGUAAUAUCUAUCUUUUUUCAAUAAAGUUAAAAUUUAAUGCAGCUGUGCUGGACCAUUUGAUAGACAUAAAGUUUUGUCUAUUAACGAAUGGAUAUAUAGUUUUAAGUUCAUUUAUAAAGUUGUGUCAUAUAAAGUACUCGACUAGGAGAUGAAGAUGAUAUGGUAAUUAUGGAUAAAAAAUUUCAAUAUGUAGAGAUGGACCGCCAUAGUUCCUAUCAUUGUAGUUUUUUUAAUUUGAGCUAAAGAUCAAGUAAGUUCUAAGAUAUUUGACCAUAAAGUUUCCAAUAAUACGCAAUAAAGUUUGGAAUAUAGAAAAUCCGUUCAUGGAAUAUAAUUAAUAUGAGACAAGUGGGAGAUUGUUAGGAUUUCUAUAUAUUGUGGCCCAAUUAAUCAUAUUCAAAUCUAGAUUUAUUAUAAAUAAAAGUCAAUUCUAAUAGAUAUAGAACUACUUGAUAUGGUAUAGUUUAUCCAUAUCCCAUCUAUUUUAAAUUUAAAUAGAAUGCUAAUCAGACUUUGAUGGGAAGUCGAUCCGGACUCUAUAUAAAAGGAUAUUGGUCCUGCCACCUUCUCAUACACAUUCUGGUGAAGAGUUAUCAUCAGUUCCGCACCAUACGGUAGAGUGCCUGAGAUAGGAGAAGAAAUCAAAUUACCCAAGUUCGAUUCAUGAUUUUCAGAUCAUAGUCGAACUUCUUGCUUCCGCAAAUUGAUAAAGAAUUUCUUCUCUAUGGCGCUCUGUGAGUUAUUUUAUUUUAUUUUGAUCCUGAAUUUUGGUAUAUAUUUAAUUUGCUUCGUAUUUUACAUACCUUAAAAUUCUAUCAUCCCCUUGAUUGGAGGAUUCUCUAAAUAUUUGUUUAUUGAAAAAAAAUUUUGUUUGAACUUAUUUCAUCAUAUUUUUUUCUGACCACCUAACAAUAUACUUUUUAUUUUAUUAUUUUAUAUUCUCAAUACCAGAAAAAAAUUGUUUUUUUAAGUUAAAUUUAUUGUGUAGUAGUGAUUUGAAGAAUAAUGAAAAGAAAGAUAUAAGGUUUAGAGAUCUACAAAAUCAGCGCAUAGUUCAACAAGGUGCCACGAAGAAACAGAUGGGCUUGAAAUUUAUGAUCUUAAAUUGAAACAAAUUGAAGAUCAAUGCAGUGCACCGUAUUCCACCAGAACGAUUCCAAUGCAGAAUCCUUUGUCCUAAUUAUUUGGAAAGAGAAAUAUCAAGAAGUGGGACUCAUGUUACGGUGCAGAGUAGUUGUGUACGUACUGAAUUGGGGGUCGGCGUCCGCUAAGUAUGAGGUCCACUCGUAAUUAAUGGAGAAACGUACACAAACAGUGGAUGACGAGUAUUGCUAUUGAGUAGUUAAUGCUCUGUUCUCUCAGAGGAAUUCUACACUGUCACACUUGCACCACGUCAUCAAUAACAAGCCAAUCACAUUCCUUCUUUUCAAACAAAAGUACAAUAAAAAUACUUUUUUACAAUCAUGAUGGGACAUAUAUUCUUAAAAGGAUUAAUUUGAUUGGUUUGUUACGCCACGUCACUAAUAUACCCGUUGCAUUCUAGAAUUUUUCGUUCUCUCAUCAGUUUCCUUGUGAGGAGUACAGCGUAUUACCGCAAACCGAUGAUCGCAUUCGUCAUCGUAGAGCACAGAGGGGUAAAGUGGGGCCCUCCACCUUUAUUCAGUUGCGGAUAUAGUUGGUACGUAGCCUCUGUUGCUGCACAUGAGGAGAGUGAUAUAUAUAUGGAUGAGAAAUUAUUGCCUAAAUCCAGUGCAUAUAAAGAAAUAUCAUGUUCCCUAUUCUUUAUCUGCCCUUCAUCUUAUCGUGCACUUCAAAUCCCAUCAUCCUAUUUUUUUCCAGUAUUAAGCUUAUUCGCGGGUCGUUUCAUAUUUAGUUAAUAAUUUAUAUUAUAUAAUAUUAUUAGGAGCCGAAUUUCUCAACUUUUGAUCCUGUCAAAGAUCUCUCUAGAAAAACGUGUAGGGAUUAGGUACAGCUUCACGUGGUGACCCUUGAAGUUCGCGCCCUCCGACAGAUCAAACGAUUCGACUGAUUAGGGAUCGGAUCAGCCGGGUUCAAAGAUUUUUACUGCAAAAUUGGUUCGGCUGAAGGAGCUGAAUAUACGGAAUGCACAGUAAUUUGGGUCGGCUGAAAAACCGAAAUGUCUUUAUAUAUUGAAAUUGGAUUUGAAAAUUUGUACAAAAGAGAGUGUGCCUAUGCGGCAUACAAACUUCAGAACUCUAACUUAAAACUACUUCUAAGAAAGACAGUAAAUUGGGAAAGAAAAAGUUUACAUGUUCGACUAUUCCUAGGAAUGUAAGGGAAAUGCGUAGAAAUUGAAAAGUGGUCUUCUAUUCGGAGGAAAAAGACCCCUCCUUCAAACGUUACUCGCCUAUUUAUAUUCCGCUUAUUAUUGUUCAGUUAUGUACACGAUCGGCCACUUUUCUCUUUUCGUGGGCCCACUACAAGCCGAUCCUAACUGGUUAAAAUUGCUUGCGAUUAUGCUGCUAUUCCUUUUUACUCCCGGUGCACAAAAACUCAUUUAAUCUUGGCUUUUAAGACUUCCGAUUAAAUCUUGCACCGAUCUGCCAUGUAGCAUUUUAUUAUUAGCCCUAACAAAUAUCAAUGUUGUUUUUAAGUACUCUUUGUUUUGGUAGGCACUUAUAUAGGACAAUCAAAGUUAAAUAUAGGAUGACACAGGGCUGCUGGACGGCGGUGCAUUGGGACCACGGAUACAUUCCGUAAAAACAUUUUUACGUUGUUGGUUUGGUAAUUUCAGAAUGGUGGUGGUACUAUAGCAAAAAGAGAGAGAGCGAGAGAGAGAGAGAGAGGGAGAGAGAGAUCCGUACAAACAUUUUUACGUUGUUGGUUUGGUAAUUUCAGAAUGGUGGUGGUACUAUAGCAAAGAGAGAGAGAGAGAGAGAGAGAGAGAGAGAUUCUCAAUAUAGUUUGUGGCGAUCCCACGUCUUUGUAUUUGACCGUUGUUAGUGUGAAUUUUGGGACCAAAUAUUACUAGCAACUGAUGUCAAAAUCUGUAAUUUGAAUGGUUUUUCAGUUACUAGCUAGUCUAAACAGCAUGAAAAAUGGUUAUGAAAGAACGAUAUGGACUUGUGCACCUGCAAGAGUAUUUUCUGAGUGUUACAAAUUCCAUCUUUUUCUCUAUGGUCCUACUUGGAAAGACGAUCAUCUUGUUUUGCAUAUUUCUUUUAUUUAUUCGAGAAAGUUAUGACAGUUCAACGUUAGAGGAUUAUGAUUAUUUGUCUUGAAAGAAUAUUAUAUUCGCCUGCUAAGUUAUCUUUUUAUAAAAAAUAAAAAAAAAAUCCUAAGGUAAGAUAUACUACUUUAACAAAUUAUGACCGUCAAAGCUAUAAAAUAAUAAAAUCAAACUUGCACCUUGUGAUUAUAGAUAAAAAUUAAAAAGUAUUAGAAAAUAGGGUUAAUUUCAUACAUGCCCUUGCAAACAUAGUGAAUAGUAAAUAUAUUUCUAUAAAGUUCAGUUUUCAUAUAUUGUUCCUACAAAAGUCCAGAUAUUUUUAAAUAUAUCUCUCUGAUUUGUUAUCGUUAGAGAACCAUUAGAAAACUGUUUAUCUUUUCAAUUUUACCAUCACAAAUAUAUCCCUCCAAAAAUCAUAACAGUAUAAUAUAAGAGAAGCAGGAUUAAGUAUUUAACCUAUGGUUAACUAAAUUUUUUUAAUAGAUUUUAACGACAGGAAUAUAUUUGAAAACAUUAGGACUUUUGUAGGGAUAAUAUAUGAAAAUUGAACUUUAUAAGAAUAUAUUUGUCAUUCACUAUAUUUAUAGAGACCUGUAUGAGAUUAAUCCUAAAAAAUAUAUAUGAUACAAGUUAUUAUUAAAAAGUAAAUUAUUACGGCAUCCAAAACAUGCCUUGCAUUAACUACAUUCACAAUGCCCUCGAGCCAAAUCUAAUAGUAACCAAAAUAAAUAGCACCCAUUUGUAGUUUUGCUACAACAAUAGUGCAACCACACUUGAUGUAGUUCCUGUGCAAAAAGCUAUCUAUACGCAUAUGAGUAGGCGUAACAUUUACAAUCCAGCCAUUCUAGAAUAUAUAUUUAGUUACUAAUUAUUAAUUUUAAAACAAGAGUAUUAUACUAGUUUUGUUUGACCUCUCUAGUAAUUUCAUUUUAGCUCCAUCUUGGCUCUUGCGGGUUUGUUUUGUUUUUUUUUUUUUUUUUUUUUUUAAAAGUUGGUAAAACUGGUAAGAAAAUAAUAAACUUUGAAUCCGAGUGUAAGAUUCACACCCUGUAAAUUGUUGCACAGAUAGGAUUGCUCAUUUCCCUCCGACUUCGAUAUUAUUCCUCGUCAUCUUGUAUUUCGUUCUAAUUUCAUGGUGUGAGUACGUCGCCCUCAAUGACGUUAUAUAUGGGUCAUGGCACCGGUCCAAUAAAAAACACAAUAACAAAUUAUUAGUUAUAAUGGUUUGUAAUGAAAUAAAAAGUGAGAUACGCUAUUAGAAACAGAAGUAGCAUAUUCUACUGAUACGAACUUUCUUUAUAUCUAUAAAAACUGUGGCCUUUCACUUCUAGAUAGAUAGUCACAAAAGUGUACUAGAUAAUUAACAUUGUGCUGCACAUUCUUUUUUUUUUUUUUUAAUUUUGAUCAGCAACAGUUCACAACCUAUACCUAUAACAUUAAUUACUUCUCAUAAAUUCGUCACGUCGCACCAUUGUGUGUGGGCUCCACAUCGAACCGGCUCAAAUUCUUCACAUAUUUUUUUUCUUUUUUUGUUUGAACCGAACGAGAUUUUUCUUUUUUCCUUUGCUUGAAACCGAACUGGAUCACAUUUGCUGAAUUGGGCUGAAGCGGCCCAACUGCUCCACAUGUUUGCAUAUUUCUUUACCUAUACAUUUCUUCUCAUAAAUUUGCCACGUAGCAGUGUUUCCUUUAUUGUUGAGUGUGGGUUUCUCCUCGAAUCGGCUAAAGCCUCCGUAUAUUUCUCUCGUUCUUUGCUCGAACCGAACUUGGUUUCCCUCUUUCUUUGCUUGAACCAAACUAGGUCACACCUUCUGCAUUGGAUCGAACAGGCCCAACUAUUGCACAUGUUUCCAUAUUUCUUUAAUUAAACCGAUUAUUAUUGAGUAUAGACUCCACUCCAAAUUGGCUCAAGCCCUCCACAUGUUUCCCUUUUCUUUUUUUGCUUGAACCAAAGUGGCUUUCCCUCUUUCUUCGCUUUAACUGAACCAGGUCACACCUGCUGCAUUGAGCGGAACCCUUCUAACUGCUCUCAAGCCCUCUAUAUGCUUUCCUCUUUCAUUACUUAAAUCGAACUGGGUUUCCUACUUUCUGUGCUUGAACUAAACUGGAUCACAACUUCCGCGUUGGGCCAAAUAGGCCCAACUACAUCACAUGUUUCUAUCUUUCUUUCCUUGAACCUGUCUUUCUUGAGUGUAGGCUCCACCCUGUACCGGCUUAAGUCCUCCAUAUAUUUACCCUUUUCUUUGUUUGAACUAGGUCAUUCCUGUUGCACUGGGCCGAACCACUGAUUCGUUCCUCAUCCUCUUCUUUGGGCUGUUAUCUUCCUUCGUCGAAUCGAAGCGUCCUUAGCACAGCCGCUUCUUCCACUGUCGUUUCUCCUUCCUUCGUCAUCAUUUUCGGUGUUGGAAUCGAAGCAUCCUCCAAACAGAAUUUAGGGGACAAUUUAGGGUACAAUGGAUCCAUCUCCUCACCGCGGCUACUUCUAUUAUCGUUUUCUCUUACUUUGUCGCCAUUUCCAGUGCUAGAUUAAUCUGCCAUGGGUGAAGUGUUUUGCAGCGCCCUUUCUUAUACCUUCAUGACUCUCUAUUCGGCUAUAUAAUAACACCUAUAUAUAACAUCCAUUUUUCCUACAUCUGAUAACCUAAUCCUUUUUCGCCCAUAAGUCAUGAAGUUUUUCUAAUAUUUUUCUUUUUCAAUUUUAUCUGCCGUAAUCCUAUUUCGCAUUAACUAUUCUUUUUCUUUUUAAUUAACGCAAUUUUCUUUUUUCAGGAAAGUGACGACGAUUUAGAAUGGUUAUUCUACAUUUGUUUGUCGUUGUUGUAAUAACCCGAACUUCUCCAAUUAUGAAAUUUUGCUGGGAACUAGCUAAAAAAGCUAUUAAAUAAGUUCCAGCAAAGUUUGGAGAGCAUUCGAGUAUUUUCGGUGCAAAUUAGACUUGAAAACGAACUCGAAAAGCUGAAAUAUGCAUAAGUUGUAGAAUUUGUACUGGGUACCGAUACUGGAAAACUGGGUACCGGUAUGCAGCGUAAAAAUGAGAAAUAUUGCUCUCGGGUUUUGAGGUAUUGGAACGGGGUACCGGUACUAGACUGGCCGGGUACCGGUACGCGAGCCCGAGUACCGGUACUCAGCCUCCCAAAACGCUGUUUUUGAGAGGUAAAAGUGUAAUUUCAAUUAGGGGCUUAUAUAAGGGGGCCCCCAGCCCCUUCCUCUGCAAAACGCACACACACACACAGGGAGAGACAGUGAGGGAGUGGGAGGUGCUCAUCUCCCUCUCGUUCUUCUUCUCCUUCUUUGACUUGGAGAUUGCGGUGGAGAUCGAGUUCGGAGAGCUUGGAGGAGCAGUAGAUCGAGCUCUCGGGCGCUUGGUGGCUUGGAAUGCCUUCGACUCGAGGUUCGUAAAUGGGUUGAAAGUUUAGGGUUUGGAUUAAAUCCCUAGAAAUGAGGUUCUAGUGAACCCUAGAUGAUUCUAAACUAGUAUUAUCAUGAUUUCUCAAUGUGUUUUGGGUAUUUUGGGGAAAUGGUAAACCUAGGGUUUGGAUUUGGAGGUUUUGGGGUUUUAGGGUUUUGAACCAAGUUGAUCUCCUAAUUCUUUAAUUGAAGGAUAAAAGAGAGCCCCAGAUAACUCUAGGUUGGAAAUCGGUGAUCGUUCGGUGGUCGAUUUCGAGUUCGAGCCGAACCGGGUGACGUUGGCCGCGGGAGUCUGAUUGCAAGUGUCUACAAACAAUCGAAAAGUGUUGUAAGGUGGGGUGUGCUUCACCUAAGUGAUUAAGUCACUUCCAUGCCAAAGUGAAGUAUGGUUUAUUGUUGAUGCAUGUAUAUUAUGGUAGGUUGUAUAUGAUAAUAUGAAUGCAUGAAUCAUAUUAUACUAGUUGAUAUUACCUACCACUGGAUGAUGAUAUAGGCAUGUGCAUGAGAUGCUAGAUGAUAUAUGCAUGUGUGCAUGUUGACAUAUGGUGAGAGGAUGAUGAUAUAAGCAUGUGCCAUGAGAUGCUAGAUGAUAUAUGCAUGUGUGAUGUGACAUAUGGUGAGAAUAUGCUAGAUUCAUAUGAAUGUAAACUUGAGUCGAUAAACUUUAGUUGAUUAGAGAACUCGACAAUUGAAAAACAAGUAAAUGUAAAUUAUAAGUCCUAGGUGUGGACAACUAGGAUAACAAGUAGAUUGAAUAGCAUUGAACCUAGUGUCAAUGAACAUAUGUGUAAUAACUGAGAGUUUUUAUUUAUUGAUUAAACCCUUUUUGUUUGACGAUGUUCUUGUGUGUAAUAUAAUUAUAAAGUGUACUCGUCAAAUUUCAGGAGAAAACGAGUUAAAACGGAGAAGUUACGCGACCGGAAGUUUGACUUAAGUGAAUAGUAACUCCGGUUUUCGGGAGAGGCGCGGAGUAAGUGGACUUUCGACGCGUAUCGGACUCGAAUACAGCCUUCCAAUAGCUCGUUUCAACCGCUCGACUAUCCUGGACCCAAUGGCACUGACGGAAUUGGAAUUGGCUGCACGGAUUUCGAGAAAAAGGGGUUUAAUGGUUUUACAUAUAGUUUUCUAUAUGUGUUUUUGGUGGAACCUAGGAGGGAUGUUUUGUCGCAAAUCGGUAACCUUUUCGGCGCGAAACGAAAUUGCUAGAUUCGAUGCCUCUGUCGUGCUGAUGGCGCUGGUGUGAUCCGAUCGGAAAUCCGACGGACGAUCUUCGGAAUCGCGAAAGUCCGCGAAGGGCUGAUUUGAGUAAUCGGAUUAUUCGCGAAAAGACCCGAUAUUUUAUCGUCGGAUUUGCGAGUUUUCGAACUCGGAGGGACUGUCAUGCAUAAAGCACUCGCUGGCAGGGAGCUGGGUUUAAACCGUUCAGCCUUGAAGGGGGUUUUCCGCAAAGUCGCAGCACCUAUAUAUAGGUUGGCCUAGGGUUUCUUGAGCUAACCCUAACCCUAGAACCCCCCCAGCUGACCCCAGCCGCCCCUGUCACCCCAGCACCUCCCUGGCCUGCCCGUGCUCACGUUCCGGCCGCCGCCGAGCAGCCCCGGCCGCCGAAAACCGCCUGCAGCCAGCCUUCCUCCUCUCCUCGGCCACCUCCCUCAUCCAUCUAGACCGAGGGCAUGUGGGAGGGUCUCCACCGCCUCUGGAAGUGAGCCCCGGCCUCCUUCCACCUCAGGCGUGCCUCUCCCCUAGCUCCGGCCAUCCCCCGACGUCGCCGGAGCCGCCGGAGAAAGCUGCGGCCAGCCCUGGUCAGCCCAGACCGAGCCAGGCCGAGCCGGGAUUGCGGGCGCUGCCACCCCUCUUCUUCGGCCGUGGCGCCUUCCAUCUGGCUCCGUUGACAUCCGGCGUGCAUCCCCCGCCGUCCCUGCACGCCGCAGGCCGCCGCUGAGCUUCCCCGCCGCCGCCCAGUUUUUGGUGCGGGCCGACCUUGGAGCCCGCCGCCCCCGGGCGCCGCCGUUGCCCUCCGAGGUGAGCAUCACCCUCUCCUCGGUCUCCGGCACCGGAUCAUUGCCGCCCCGACCUCCCCCGGUCGCCGCCUCGCCGCCGGCAAGCUCCAACCCGAGAGGAAGUCGGCGGGCCCGAUCUCCGCCGCCGCGCCACCGGCUGCUGCCCGCCGCCGGCCAGCACCUCCCCCGGACCUCCCCGACCUUCUGCUCCCAUCAUCGGCUGGAGCGCCCGCCGCCCGAUCGCCGGCGGCCAUCCCUAGCUCCCACUGCUCCGGUGAGUAGCCAUUUAUAGUUCCAGCACUACAGUUUUGUGUUCCGGCCACUUUUUCGGUGAUCCGAUGACUCCCUGGCACCUCGGGAGGUGAGCACGAUGAUCGUGGGCUCGUGCUGAACACGAUGCUCACCUCCAUUUAGGUUAACGGUGCCCUGGUUAGUGAGUAAUGUGCGAUCUUCGCGCUGUGCGCACUGUUUCGCUGAGGUUCGCGUCGCUCGUGCGCGCGUGGUUGCUGCCGGCAGUGCUCCGAAAGGUGAGCACAGCCUCCGGCAUGCUGAAACCUUGCAGCAAGUGCGAUGGCAACCUCCGUAGAUCCCUGGUUUGCUGGUACGACCCGUUAGAGCCAUGAAAUCACAUAAAAUAAUGUGAUUUCAUGGGCCAGUAGGGAUCCUUUUGCGUUUCGCUUCGUUGUGGCUGCUGUUGGCAGCAGGUUAAGGCUUAAGGUAACCUCUGGACUGAUCGUCCAAGGCCCCAAGCCCUUGCGGAAAUCUAUCUGUCAUUUUCGGAGCGUUUUCGGUGAAAUCCGCCGAUAGAACGCGCGUUCGACUCGGAAUUCAUCCGACGGUGCCUCGUGGUUGAUUGUAGCGUCGCUGAGCCUUGUUGGCUGGUCACCCACGUCUUCUCGAGGGUUCGGAAACGACGGGUGAGCGACGGUGGAGUUUCGGUACGGUUUCCGGGAUUUUCGGCUGGUUCGGUAGUUGCGUUUGAGAAACCGAUUUCCGAGGGGUUAUGAUUUUGGGAUUUGUGUGAGAAUGGUCGUGUUAUUGUGUUUGUGGGUUAGACUCUAACCCGGUGGACCCCUCGUAGGUCCGGUCGCUUCGUCUCCGCCUUCGCGAGACCGUUUCAGCUUUAUACAGGUGGGUACUUCGAUCCGACGUCGGUACAGUGGUGCACGCUCGGUGAUAUUUCUUCUAUCCCUGUUCUUCUGUUGCUAUUUUCGUAUUAUAUAUUGAGCUUGCAUCCCCGUUGUUUCUAUUAUACUCUACUCAUAUGUUUCUAUGCUUAGUAUCAUGUGUAGGAGUAGAGUAGUUUAUCCAUAUGUGAUACCGGUGACCUGACUAGUCGGUUCUCGUACUUUAUUUCGGUGACCUGAUUGGUCGGUUCUCGUACUUCGUUUCGGUGACCUGAUUGGUCGGUUCUCGUACUUCGUUUCGGUGACCUGAUUGGUCGGUUCUCGUACUUCGUUUCGGUGAUCUAGUUGAUCGGUGCUUUUAUCUUAUAUCUGUUGACCUGGUUGGUCGGUUGUUGCAUUAUGUAUUGGGUUGGUCUGUUUCUUGACUUCUGUCGUUUGAUGACCUUUGAGGUCGGUGUACCCUGAGGGGUAGGAUUGUCGGCCAUGGCCGACGGUAGUUCUAGAUUAUAUACUCAGAUGACUUGUUGAUCGAUUCUUGCAUAUAUACAGUAGUUGACCUAUUGAUCAGUAUCUACAUACUUUUGGUAGGAUGUUGAGUUGUUCCAUCCCAGUUGACUUGAUUAGUCAGUACUUACAUACAGUUGAGAGGAUGUAGAGUCGUUCCAUCCUAGUUGACUUGAGUGGUCGGUUCUUGUGCUUCUUUAUAGUUUGAUGACCUAUUGGUCGGCUUGCCCCGAGGGGCGGUGAUUGUCGGCUGGUUGCCGACAUUUGGCUAUUGAUCAUAUCCGCAUUGAUCGCCACAGCUCGAGUGCAUUUCACGUACACCAGCGGGUUGAUCCCCCGUAAGAGGGUGUUCUUUUCCGGAAAAGUGGUCGUACAUCCGACCCGUGAGCCCAGCGGUGUUCUCUUUGUGCUAGGGUUACAUGCCAGGUGUGAGCAGGUAGUGGCUUUUGCCUGAGGUCCUUAGACCGACACGGCGGUUUAGAUUGGGUACUUUUGGACUUCUCGUCCGGUUGACGCAUAUAGCUAUAGUAGCGGUUGUUGCAUAUAUACUUCUAGUUCUUUCUUUACAGUUGUCUUGCUACUAUAGUUUUGAUAUCCUUGUAUGCUUGCAGUUGUACAUUACAGUAGCGGUAGUUGUGUUUUCAUAUAUAUAUCUCAUUCGUUCAUUAUCGUUGCUACUGUAUUUUACUUACCCAUACUGUUGUUUAUCUCUUCCUGAUCCGGUGAGUACUCCUCGCCUUCUUCGGCUUGCGGUACCCACUGGGAGGGGAGACAUGUUUACAUGUUCUCACCUCCCCCACUAUUUUUCAGGUAUUGCAGACGUUGAGUUUUGGGACGAGCCGUGAGGUACGUUCGUAGCGGUCGAUAGAGCUUCCGACCCAGAUUAUCGGUUUAGUUUUAUCCCUAAUGUUCUGUUGUUAUAGUUUAGUCAGUUUAUAUGGUUCAGUAUUUUUAUUACAUUGGAAUAUGUGGACUUUCAUGAAUGUAAUAAAAGAAUUUCUGGAUUUGGUAAAAUAAAAGGUUUUCUACCCCUCGUGGUAGCUUUUAUAAAAGAUAAAAGUUUUCGCGUAUGGAACAGUUUUUAAAAGGUUUUUCGUGGACUUUUGUUUAAACAUCGAAUGUAAAACUACGGUGUGAAUGGUAAAUGUAUGAACGUAUAGCUAUCUGUAUAUUCAUUUAGUUGUGGUUGUAUACUGUUUGUACUUUUGUACUUGUGCGACGCCGUGCAAAUACAGGGGAGACUCUGUCCGUGUGAACA
RNAcentral lists this long non-coding RNA (13562 nucleotides) under Ananas comosus (pineapple). RNAcentral's name for it is "long non-coding RNA (ACOM_LNC035012)". The record is from RNAcentral. Lineage: Eukaryota; Viridiplantae; Streptophyta; Magnoliopsida; Poales; Bromeliaceae.